RNAcentral lists this ribosomal RNA (348 nucleotides) under Heptagenia kyotoensis. Its description in RNAcentral is "partial 16S ribosomal RNA". It matches the Rfam family "Archaeal large subunit ribosomal RNA", at positions 1904 to 2314 of the family's 2987-position model. Lineage: Eukaryota; Metazoa; Arthropoda; Insecta; Ephemeroptera; Heptageniidae. The record is from RNAcentral.
AACAUCGCUUCUUGGGUGUUUAAGAAGUCUAGCCUGCCCACUGAUGAAAUUAAAGGGCCGCGGUAUUUUGACCGUGCAAAGGUAGCAUAAUCAUUAGUCUUCUAAUUAAAGGCUGGUAUGAAUGGUUGGACGAGGUAUUAGCUGUCUCUUUGAGAUUAGGUUGAAUUUAACUUUCUAGUGAAAAGGCUGGAAUAGAAUUGGAGGACGAGAAGACCCUAUAGAGCUUUACAUUUUUCUUUGUUUUAAUUCAUUUGGUAGGAGUCUAAUUUUAUGGAAAAAGUGUUUCGUUGGGGUGACGGGGAGAUAGGAUAAACUCUCUUUACAAAAGAAUCAUAAAUUUAUGUUUAG